Molecule: ribosomal RNA, 1043 nt
Filed under: uncultured archaeon 2MT120
Lineage: Archaea
Description: bacterial SSU rRNA
Rfam family: Archaeal small subunit ribosomal RNA
Source: RNAcentral
UCUGGUUGAUCCCGGCGGAGGUCACUGCUAUCGGGGUUCGAUUAAGCCAUGCGAGUUGAGAGGGUUUAGACCCUCAGCGGACUGCUCAGUAACACGUGGAUAACCUGCCCUAUGGUGGAGAAUAACCCCGGGAAACUGGGGAUAAUACUCCAUAGAUUAGAGAUACUGGAAUGUUCUUUAGUCGAAAGUUGAGGCGCCAUAGGAUGGAUCUGCGGUCGAUUAGGUUGUUGUUGGGGUAACGGCCCAACAAGCCUGUAAUCGAUAUGGGUUGUGGGGGCAAGAGCCCGGAGAUGGAAUCUGAGACACGAUUCCAGGCCCUACGGGGCGCAGCAGGCGCGAAAACUUUACAAUGCAGGAAACUGUGAUAAGGGAACCCCGAGUGCCCGUAUACGCGGGCUGUCCAGGUGUCUAAAAAGCAUCUAAAGAAAGGGCCGGGCAAGACCGGUGCCAGCCGCCGCGGUAAUACCGGCGGCUCGAGUGGUGGCCACUAUUAUUGGGCUUAAAGCGUCCGUAGCUGGACUCUUAAGUCUCUUGGGAAAUACGCCGGCUUAACCGACGGGCGUCUAAGAGAUACUGAGAGUCUAGGGACCGGGAGAGGUGAGAGGUACUCCGGGGGUAGGAGUGAAAUCCUGUAAUCCCCGGGGGACCACCGAUGGCGAAGGCAUCUCACCAGAACGGCUCCGACAGUGAGGGACGAAAGCUGGGGGAGCGAACCGGAUUAGAUACCCGGGUAGUCCCAGCCGUAAACUAUGCGCGUUAGGUGUACUGGUGACCACGUGUCACUGGGGUGCCGAAGGGAAACCGUGAAACGUGCCGCCUGGGAAGUACGGUCGCAAGGCUGUAACUUAAAGGAAUUGGCGGGGGAGCAUCACAACGGGUGGAGCCUGCGGUUUGAUUGGACUCAACGCCGGAAAUCUCACCGGAUAAGACAGCGUAAUGAUAACCGGGCUGAAGACUCUGUUUGACCAGCUGAGAGGAGGCGCAUGGCCGUCGUCAGUUCGUACUGUGAAGCAUCCUGUUAAGUCAGGCAACGAGCGAGACCC